This 446-nucleotide ribosomal RNA is filed under the name uncultured bacterium. Its description in RNAcentral is "partial 16S ribosomal RNA". It matches the Rfam family "Bacterial small subunit ribosomal RNA", at positions 329 to 792 of the family's 1533-position model. The record is from RNAcentral.
GUCCAGACUCCUACGGGAGGCAGCAGUGGGGAAUAUUGCACAAUGGGGGAAACCCUGAUGCAGCGACGCCGCGUGAGUGAAGAAGUAUUUCGGUAUGUAAAGCUCUAUCAGCAGGGAAGAAAAUGACGGUACCUGACUAAGAAGCCCCGGCUAACUACGUGCCAGCAGCCGCGGUAAUACGUAGGGGGCAAGCGUUAUCCGGAUUUACUGGGUGUAAAGGGAGCGUAGACGGCAUGGCAAGUCAGAUGUGAAAGCCCGGGGCCCAACCCCGGGACUGCAUUUGAAACUGUCAGGCUGGAGUGCAGGAGAGGUAAGUGGAAUUCCUAGUGUAGCGGUGAAAUGCGUAGAUAUUAGGAGGAACACCAGUGGCGAAGGCGGCUUACUGGACUGUAACUGACGCUGAGACACGAAAGCGUGGGGAGCAAACAGGAUUAGAUACCCCCGUA